GUGCCGAGCAGCCGCGGUAAUACCGGCAGCCCGAGUGAUGGCCACUCUUAUUGGGCCUAAAGCGUCCGUAGCCGGCCUCGCAAGUCCGUCGGGAAAUCCACUCGCCCAACGAGUGGGCGUCCGACGGAAACUGCACAGCUUGGGACCGGAAGGCUCGAAGGGUACGUUCGGGGUAGGAGUGAAAUCCCAUAAUCCCGCACGGACCACCGAUGGCGAAAGCACUUCGAGAAAACGGAUCCGACAGUGAGGGACGAAAGCCAGGGUCUCCAACCGGAUUAGAUACCCCUGUAGUCC
This 294-nucleotide ribosomal RNA is filed under the name uncultured bacterium. Its description in RNAcentral is "partial 16S ribosomal RNA". It matches the Rfam family "Archaeal small subunit ribosomal RNA", at positions 455 to 747 of the family's 1478-position model. The record is from RNAcentral.